RNAcentral lists this long non-coding RNA (1198 nucleotides) under Marmota monax (woodchuck). Lineage: Eukaryota; Metazoa; Chordata; Mammalia; Rodentia; Sciuridae. The record is from RNAcentral.
UGAUAAAGUGAAUCAGCUUAUUGUCAUUUCUGUCAUAUGAGAAGUAGAAUUUGUCAGGUUGGGUGUUCUGCUAUCAAUGUGAACAAAUCCACAAAGUGGUCCCUAGUUGGGGCCACCAGGCACGUGUGUGAGUUUGUGUUUGUAUGUGCAGAAGGAAGAGAUGCAGUGUGCCCUGCUCUUGAGAGGGUGCUGGAGAAUGGUAGGUUCCAGAGCAGGAGGCCUUUGAAAAAAUGAGAUACUUGCUUGGUCCAGGAUUGAAAAGAUACCGGGUCUUAAAUAAAUACCUUACCUUUGGCAUUUGUAUAGGACAAGUCAUUUAAGAAGGGCACCAUUACCUGGUCAGUAGCAAGUUAUUGGGGAAUCCUUGGUAAACUAAGCUAAUUUGGUGGUUGGAAAUACAUAGGAAAAAUUAAACAACAGAAGUGUAUUACUUGGGCUGGGGAUGUGGCUCAAGCGGUAGCGCGCUCGCCUGGCAUGCGUGCGGCCUGGGUUCGAUCCUCAGCACCACAUACAAAUAAAGAUGUUGUGUCUGCCGAAAACUAAAAAAUAAAUAUUAAAAAAUCCCCCCCUCAUUAAAAAAAAUUUUAAAAAGUGUAUUACUUUUAAGAGAAGAAUUAGGGACGUGCAUGAUAAAUACGUGCAGUUUUUUUGUUUAAAACUUAUUCAUAAACUUAUGAUUUCAUUUCAUGGUGUCUCAGUUGUAUUACAAAUAAUAUUUAAGAGCUCCUAGGAAAAAAAAACUAGAAAAAUAUUUCUUCUCAAAUGUGUUUCAGUGUAGGGAAAAUUAAAGUAAUGCCAAAAGACCAUAUUAUUUCAGGACUGCCACAGUCUGAAAGGCAAGGGGUGUCUUCAUUGCAUAUGUGCAGAGACUUGGAUCUGAGAGGUGGCAACUUGUCCACAUGACAAGGCAAGGUUGUAAUAAUGGUUGGAGCAAGACUUGGAGUUUUACCUUUUGAUCUGUUUUGUGUUAUACAACCGUAGGAGAAAAACCCCAUGUAUGUUUCCAUAUAUAAAAAACAACUUUUGCAUUCCUUCAGAUUUUAAACAAAGAAAAAGCAAAUGGUAUUGUUUCCUAAUUCUUCGAUAUGUUGAACUUGAACAAAUCCAGUCAAUUUCUUGGGGCUAGAAUAUGUAGUCUUUUCAAAAUGUGGGGAAAGAAAAUUUAAAAGGCCACAACUCCGAAAAUAAAGUUUUUUUU